Molecule: ribosomal RNA, 251 nt
Filed under: uncultured Glomus
Lineage: Eukaryota; Fungi; Glomeromycota; Glomeromycetes; Glomerales; Glomeraceae
Description: partial 18S ribosomal RNA
Source: RNAcentral
CCCAACUAUCCCUAUUAAUCAUUACGUCAAUCCUAGAAACCAACAAAAUAGGAUCGAACGUCCUAUUUCAUUAUUCCAUGCUAAUGUAUUCAAGCGUUAGCCUGCUUUAAACACUCUAAUUUUUUCAAAGUAACAGUCCAGUUUCCCCGCAACACCAAAUUAAUGGCAUUACGGUUCAUCAGGAAGGAGGAAUCAGUGAGAUCAGUACAUACCUGAGGCACGACCAACCUACUAACCCCGAAAUUCAACUA